Long non-coding RNA from Leopardus geoffroyi (Geoffroy's cat), 448 nucleotides. RefSeq lists it as uncharacterized. The transcript is spliced from 3 exons. The record is from RefSeq and is a predicted model, not a curated record. Lineage: Eukaryota; Metazoa; Chordata; Mammalia; Carnivora; Felidae.
CAGUGGUGUUCCUAAGACACAAUGGGGUGAACAGAAAGGCCGUUUGCUGGCCCUGUAGACCACCCAGGGGAGGUGAUUUCCCCGGGCUCUCUCUUCUCUCUCUCACCGCUCCAGGGGAGAGGCGCAGGGAUAGGGGUCAGCCGCUUGCCUCAGGUCUGCGUCUGUUAGGAGGCUCUAAGAAGACCCGAAGGGAAGGGCCUCAGAAGGCUGUGGAGAGAAAACACUAUGAAGCGAGGAGGCGGGCUAGGCCGCAGGAUGUGGGACGGACAUGAAGAAGGAAAGCGUCCCCGAUCCCCGGCUGCCCGCCCACCCACGGCGGACACAGACAAGUAUACAUUCUAAACAGGAUCCUACCUGCUCCGGACAAGAGGCAAGCACACCAGAAUGCUUUCUAGGAGAUCCCACGUAGAACAUAGGGCAUCACAACUAAUGCGUCAGCCUUCAUGAG